AUGAAUGGUUCAAUGACGGGGAAAUUAGCAACUAGGGUUUCGGAUAUUGAAACCUCAGUUGUCGCUUAUCCUUCUACAACAACUUUGCGACUGAGUUCUUCUUUUUGUAAAAUUCGCUCCCCUCGGUACUGUUGUUGUCCAUGUUCUUCUGUGAAUUUCGUUUUAAUUUGUAGCAACUUUGAGGCUUCAGAAAAAUAUGAAAACGGUUAA
Vicia faba (fava bean) is the source of this 210-nucleotide non-coding RNA. The record is from the annotation of a GenBank genome assembly. Lineage: Eukaryota; Viridiplantae; Streptophyta; Magnoliopsida; Fabales; Fabaceae.